AUCCGGGUUGCGGACAGUGUCUGGUGGGUAGUUUGACUGGGGCGGUCUCCUCCUAAAGAGUAACGGAGGAGCACGAAGGUUAGCUAAUCCUGGUCGGACAUCAGGAGGUUAGUGCAAUGGCAUAAGCUAGCUUGACUGCGAGCGUGACGGCGCGAGCAGGUGCGAAAGCAGGUCAUAGUGAUCCGGUGGUUCUGAAUGGAAGGGCCAUCGCUCAACGGAUAAAAGGUACUCCGGGGAUAACAGGCUGAUACCGCCCAAGAGUUCAUAUCGACGGCGGUGUUUGGCACCUCGAUGUCGGCUCAUCACAUCCUGGGGCUGAAGUAGGUCCCAAGGGUAUGGCUGUUCGCCAUUUAAAGUGGUACGCGAGCUGGGUUUAGAACGUCGUGAGACAGUUCGGUCCCUAUCUGCCGUGGGCGCUGGAGAAUUGAGGGGGGCUGCUCCUAGUACGAGAGGACCGGAGUGGACGCAUCACUGGUGUUCGGGUUGUCAUGCCAAUGGCAUUGCCCGGUAGCUAAAUGCGGAAGAGAUAAGUGCUGAAAGCAUCUAAGCACGAAACUUGCCCCGAGAUGAGUUCUCCCUGACCCUUUAAGGGUCCUGAAGGAACGUU
This 607-nucleotide ribosomal RNA is filed under the name Klebsiella huaxiensis. Its description in RNAcentral is "partial 23S ribosomal RNA". It matches the Rfam family "Bacterial large subunit ribosomal RNA", at positions 2238 to 2839 of the family's 2925-position model. Lineage: Bacteria; Pseudomonadati; Pseudomonadota; Gammaproteobacteria; Enterobacterales; Enterobacteriaceae. The record is from RNAcentral.